Molecule: ribosomal RNA, 443 nt
Filed under: uncultured bacterium
Lineage: Bacteria
Description: SSU rRNA
Rfam family: Bacterial small subunit ribosomal RNA
Source: RNAcentral
AGAACGAACGCUGGCGGCAGGCCUAACACAUGCAAGUCGAACGCUCUCGCAAGAGAGAGUGGCGCACGGGUGCGUAACGCGUGGGAAUCUACCCUUGACUACGGAACAACGUCGGGAAACUGACGCUAAUACCGUAUAAUGACUCCGGUCCAAAGAUUUAUCGGUCAAGGAUGAGCCCGCGUUAGAUUAGCUAGUUGGUGAGGUAAUGGCUCACCAAGGCUACGAUCUAUAGCUGGUCUGAGAGGAUGAUCAGCCACACUGGGACUGAGACACGGCCCAGACUCCUACGGGAGGCAGCAGUGAGGAAUAUUGGACAAUGGGGGCAACCCUGAUCCAGCCAUGCCGCGUGAGUGAUGAAGCCUUCGGUUGUAAAACUCUUUUAGAUGUGACGAUGAUGACGGUAACAUCAGAAAAGCUCCGGCUAACUUCGUGCCAGCAGCCGC